ACGCUGGCGGCAGGCCUAACACAUGCAAGUCGAGCGGUAGAGAGAAGCUUGCUUCUCUUGAGAGCGGCGGACGGGUGAGUAAUGCCUAGGAAUCUGCCUGGUAGUGGGGGAUAACGUUCGGAAACGGACGCUAAUACCGCAUACGUCCUACGGGAGAAAGCAGGGGACCUUCGGGCCCUUGCGCUAUCAGAUGAGCCUAGGUCGGAUUAGCUAGUUGGUGAGGUAAUGGCUCACCAAGGCGACGAUCCGUAACUGGUCUGAGAGGAUGAUCAGUCACACUGGAACUGAGACACGGUCCAGACUCCUACGGGAGGCAGCAGUGGGGAAUAUUGGACAAUGGGCGAAAGCCUGAUCCAGCCAUGCCGCGUGUGUGAAGAAGGUCUUCGGAUUGUAAAGCACUUUAAGUUGGGAGGAAGGGUUGUAGAUUAAUACUCUGCAAUUUUGACGUUACCGACAGAAUAAGCACCGGCUAACUCUGUGCCAGCAGCCGCGGUAAUACAGAGGGUGCAAGCGUUAAUCGGAAUUACUGGGCGUAAAGCGCGCGUAGGUGGUUUGUUAAGUUGGAUGUGAAAUCCCCGGGCUCAACCUGGGAACUGCAUUCAAAACUGACUGACUAGAGUAUGGUAGAGGGUGGUGGAAUUUCCUGUGUAGCGGUGAAAUGCGUAGAUAUAGGAAGGAACACCAGUGGCGAAGGCGACCACCUGGACUAAUACUGACACUGAGGUGCGAAAGCGUGGGGAGCAAAC
Molecule: ribosomal RNA, 746 nt
Filed under: uncultured bacterium
Lineage: Bacteria
Description: bacterial SSU rRNA
Rfam family: Bacterial small subunit ribosomal RNA
Source: RNAcentral